UUGUUGUUGCAUUCAAGGUAGUGAAUUAGUUCACAAUUGGUAAAGCAGAAAAUGAUGUUUACGAAUUAUUUGUACAUAAAUAUGCAAAGGGAAAUGUGGAAAAGAAGCAGCCAAAAUUUCAGCAUGCAGAUAGAUUGAGGUACUGAUAUUGCAGUGAUUGCAAUGGUUCAGAGAAUUUGGAGUGUUUGAUUGAAAUUGAAAGGAAAGCGUAUUCUGUAACGGCUUGACCUUGGGUAUAUGACGAUGUAUUUGGAGAAUAAUGUAAAAGGAGAAAAAGCGGUUAUUUUAUUUUCAUAAAUCAUGGAAGUUGAAGCAAAAGGAAGAAUUAGUCUUAUACGUUAGUGAAUCAAUGGAAUGCUUGGGUGAUGAGAU
Non-coding RNA from Schizosaccharomyces pombe (fission yeast), 372 nucleotides. The record is from the annotation of a GenBank genome assembly. NCBI's taxonomy places the organism in Eukaryota, Fungi, Ascomycota, Schizosaccharomycetes, Schizosaccharomycetales, Schizosaccharomycetaceae.